This 238-nucleotide long non-coding RNA is filed under the name Lathyrus oleraceus (garden pea). RNAcentral describes it as "Pisum sativum (pea) long non-coding RNA (PSAT_LNC004594)". Lineage: Eukaryota; Viridiplantae; Streptophyta; Magnoliopsida; Fabales; Fabaceae. The record is from RNAcentral.
GCAUUUAUUUAAUUUAAUUUUUAUUUUAUUUUAUCAUAUUUUACAUUGAGACUAAGAUUUGAAUGGUUUGCAUUUUCAGGAUCACUUUCUUAACUUUUACAGGAUGCAGGAUUUCUAUGACAUGCAUGUGGCCUAUAGAGAUAAUGCUCAGAGGGAGCGCUACAUUGCUCUGUAUCAGCGUCCUAUGGCACCCACACGUUAUCCUGAUCAGCAUUGUAUGGAGGCACUGGGUAUCGAG